This 503-nucleotide ribosomal RNA is filed under the name uncultured bacterium. RNAcentral's name for it is "bacterial SSU rRNA". It matches the Rfam family "Bacterial small subunit ribosomal RNA", at positions 15 to 518 of the family's 1533-position model. The record is from RNAcentral.
GAUCAUGGCUCAGGAUGAACGCUGGCGGCGUGCUUAACACAUGCAAGUCGAACGAAUUACGUUAAAAGAAGUCUUCGGAUGGAAAAUAAAGUAGUUAGUGGCGGACGGGUGAGUAACGCGUGGGAAACCUGCCCUAUACAGGGGGAUAGCCUCGGGAAACCGGGAUUAAUACCCCAUAAAGCUCUAGAAUCGCAUGAUUCAAGAGUCAAAACUCCGGUGGUAUAGGAUGGUCCCGCGUCCCAUUAGCUAGUUGGUGAGGUAACGGCCCACCAAGGCGACGAUGGGUAGCCGGCCUGAGAGGGUGAACGGCCACACUGGAACUGAGACACGGUCCAGACUCCUACGGGAGGCAGCAGUGGGGAAUAUUGCAACAAUGGGGGAAACCCUGAUGCAGCGACGCCGCGUGAGCGAAGAAGGCCUUCGGGUCGUAAAGCUCUGUCCCAAGGGAAGAAAAAGACGGUACCUUAGGAGGAAGCCCCGGCUAACUACGUGCCAGCCGCGGC